RNAcentral lists this ribosomal RNA (101 nucleotides) under Bacillus spizizenii. RNAcentral describes it as "partial 23S ribosomal RNA". It matches the Rfam family "Bacterial large subunit ribosomal RNA", at positions 2824 to 2925 of the family's 2925-position model. The record is from RNAcentral. Lineage: Bacteria; Bacillati; Bacillota; Bacilli; Caryophanales; Bacillaceae.
GGAAGUAAGAUCCCUGAAAGAUGAUCAGGUUGAUAGGUCUGAGGUGGAAGUGUGGCGACACAUGGAGCUGACAGAUACUAAUCGAUCGAGGACUUAACCCA